UUUGUGAGGUUUCAUGUGGCCUAAUGAGGGUCAGUUUUAAAGGUUUAAUAUUACAGAAUUUAGCUUGGAAAAUGCGCAUAUCAGGCUAAGUAUUUAAGUUAAUUUUGCCCCAGCAUUUUGUGCUGCAUAAAUAUCUGCUCCUUCAUCGAAAAUGUACCGCUCUGAAAUGACUUGUAGCUACAUUUCCUGCCAAUUUAUCCUCAUAUUUCCGCUAUGCCUAUCAAGAGUUUAGCUACUGGCCUUCCUAGCCACUCGAAUCCAUUUUUUUUAGGUCAAGUUCGCACUGCUCAUCACUUUUAUUGGCUGCAAUUCGAAAAGCACUGAAACUGGUCCUGACAGACUCUCUCUUUCUCUCAAGUUAAUAAAGCAAUUUACAAUGCAGAUCCACAGCAUCGACCCCC
RNAcentral lists this long non-coding RNA (401 nucleotides) under Drosophila guanche. The record is from RNAcentral. Lineage: Eukaryota; Metazoa; Arthropoda; Insecta; Diptera; Drosophilidae.